RNAcentral lists this ribosomal RNA (427 nucleotides) under uncultured bacterium. RNAcentral describes it as "partial 16S ribosomal RNA". It matches the Rfam family "Bacterial small subunit ribosomal RNA", at positions 355 to 774 of the family's 1533-position model. The record is from RNAcentral.
UGGGGAAUAUUGGACAAUGGGCGAAAGCCUGAUCCAGCCAUGCCGCGUGUGUGAAGAAGGUCUUCGGAUUGUAAAGCACUUUAAGUUGGGAGGAAGGGCAUUAACCUAAUACGUUAGUGUUUUGACGUUACCGACAGAAUAAGCACCGGCUAACUCUGUGCCAGCAGCCGCGGGAAUACAGAGGGUGCAAGCGUUAAUCGGAAUUACUGGGCGUAAAGCGCGCGUAGGUGGUUUGUUAAGUUGGAUGUGAAAGCCCCGGGCUCAACCUGGGAACUGCAUCCAAAACUGGCAAGCUAGAGUACGGUAGAGGGUGGUGGAAUUUCCUGUGUAGCGAUGAAAUGCGUAGAUAUAGGAAGGAACACCAGUGGCGAAGGCGACCACCUGGACUGAUACUGACACUGAGGUGCGAAAGCGUGGGGAGCAAACA